Quercus lobata is the source of this 3086-nucleotide long non-coding RNA. RefSeq lists it as uncharacterized. Lineage: Eukaryota; Viridiplantae; Streptophyta; Magnoliopsida; Fagales; Fagaceae. The record is from RefSeq and is a predicted model, not a curated record. The transcript is spliced from 2 exons.
GCAAACUCCAUAAAAGACAUUUGAAUAUUACAAAUUAUACGUGAAGUGCAACAACACCAUAUGCAUGUUUGGGAUUUCAUUUCAAAUUAUUUUGUUUUAGGAAAAUUUCAUUUGAUUUAGAAAAUAUUUAAAGGGACCACUCACACAAAAAUUCACAGGUUCAUGACACACCUAACUUCCCGCGUGCCAACCCUAACAAACUCAAAAUCAAGUGCAAGUUUGUAAUGCCUCUCUCAAACAAAACCAACUCAGCUAGCACUGAGUCAUGAAACCAAGCCCCUGGCUAAACAAUUCUUUGACCAUGAGUUAUCUGGACCUUCCUUUCACCCCAACCCAAGUCCCCAACCCCUAUAAAUAAAUUGUUACCCUAUCUCCAAAAGUCCACACGGUUUCAUUCACACACAUACAAAAAUAUUCUUCCUUACAGCCUGAGGCCAUUGCAAGUUUCUUCCUCUCUCAAGUCUCAAAACUUGCAAUGCCCUCGGCGGUAAGGAAGAUUAUUGUGUACUGAAGUGUCACUGCCCAUUCUGAACCAAGGCUGACAUCAAAGAUCAUAUCAAAAAUGGACAACAAUGAGCAAUGAUGCUCCAACCAGUUUCUAUUGUGUUUAUGUGUUUUUAUUAUUUAUUUAUGCUAUUAGCCCUGUUCCUCUUUAUCUUCAAAUUAUGUUUCUAUAUUAUAAAUAAUCCUGUGUGUUUAUUUAUAUUAAUUUGAAGAGGGCUAAUAGCAUAAACACAUAAAUACAAUAGAAACUGGUUGGGGUAUCACUGCGUGUUGUCCAUUCUUGAUAUGGUCUCUGUGAGGUUUCUUGCACAGAGGCAACUCAUCAUCCCAAAUGAAAAUUUCGAUGUUCACCAGAAAAGUAAUACUUUAAAAAAAAAAAAAAUUCUACAGAGUAUUUGAUUUAUAAUUAUUGUUUUCCUUAAAAAUCGAAUGGGUUUGUUUUGUUUUGUUUUUUUUUUUGUAGAGGAUAAUAUUGAUGGUAAAGUGAACGAUCUGAAAAAAACAGCUACAAAGAAAGGGAAUCGUAAGACUCUUAAUGACAUAACAAAACAAAUCAUCAAACAUUCAUAUCGAAACGAAAAAGAAUGUACCAAAAAAAAGAGGAACUUUUUAAUGUAGCCCAGGAAAUGUUUUUACACGAUCACAAAAAAUGCAUUUAGUCACAACAACAAAGUACAAUGAAUUCAUUUUACCUGGACUUGGUUCUUCCAGGACACGGUAACUAACUAUAUAUGCUUCUCUACUCGAUUAUAUUCGUUAACAUUGUCUUAUUUAUGUGUUGUUUUACUAUUCAAUGUCUUUAUGUUUUUUGAUUUGAUUGUCAAUUUUGUUUCGCGGUGGAAAUCGUUAUCUAGAUCUUAUAGUGAAUGGUAUUUUGAUACUUGGGACCUACUGGGAACAAAAUAUAUGGCCACUCUACUAAGAUAUUGGAACGGGUACUUCGCAAAUUUUUGGUUUGUGUUCAAUCACAGUUCUCUGUUUGUUGUUGUAUAUUGCUUGACUGACGACCCUAGGAAGGGAAUGUUGUUAAACUUGGGAAUAUGCGUAAUCCAAGUUCUUAAGUUUGUUUGCAAUUUUCUGUGAUAAAGAUUUGGGGCCAAAAUUCAUGAAUCCAAAAGAGUAUGGAAGAUGAAAUUGGUGCAGAUGUAUUCAAGCAUCUUGUUGCCUAAAAAUCUAAAAUCAAUACCUCACGGGAAAAUAUUCUCAUGUUAUUGUCCAAAAGAUAUAUAUAUAUAUAUAUAUAUUAUUAUCUUUGUUUGCUUGUAAUAUUUGAUAUAUUUUUUAUGCUACCUUGUGUUAAUUUUUAUGCAUAACUUAGUUCUGUUGUAUUAAAAUCCCCUAUGUAUCAAAGAAAAAGGAGGGAGAUCCUGGAGCAAGGAAAGCGCUGAUACUUUCACUUCAGUAAAAAGUUUGCUGUCUAAAAUAUCUUAAUGCUCAUUAUUAAGUAACUCCCAAAGUUUCCAUUUGUGCAUGUAGGUGUGAGAAUGAAAUCUAGAAAGGUCUUGUUUCCUUGAUUUUGAGAAAUUUUUAUCAUAUAUUUGGGUUGGAAAUACAUUUUGGCUUAUUUUUUCACUUGGUCUUAAAAAGUUUUUUUUUUUUUUGGGUGGCAAUCACCCACUUUAAAGGAGGUCAUAAUCGAUUAGGAGACAAGAAUUGCAGACUGAAAUUAAUGGGUUAAUGGCUUAAUGCAGAUAAGGGUUUAGAUACAUAAUAAGCCAAAAGAAAUUUGAAAAAAAAAAAAAAAAAUGUCUUGAAAAGUCUGAGAUCGUUUAAGAUUCAAAUGAUCUCUCUCCACCCCCCCCCCCCCCCCUUUUUUAUUUUAAUCUGAUAACUCUCUCUUGUAUUACUCUCAAGUUGUGGGUUGUGGCAAAGUACAUGCAUGACUAUUUAAGUUAUUUUUUCUCCCUCCUGUGCAGAUUCUGUAUGUACUUCUGAACAUCAAGAUGAUUCUUUUUCUCUUUCCUAAUCCUAUAUCUCUACUUUGAUAUAAUGUAAAAUGCUGAUCUUUAUAGCCCUUGCUGCUACCCAGAGCCGGUGGAGUUGCCCAUGCAUGGCUGAUUGGUUAGAAUCUUCAACAGAUUGGACCUCCCCUCCUUGUUCUCCUUUACAUUGAGAUUCUCCACCAUCCACCCCUUUUGCAUGGGAAUCUGAGGCGGUUGAAUUUGUUCUGAAACAAGAAGUUGAUAUCUGAAUUAUUGAAUGUCAUUUCUUUCUUUUCUAUAUGUUCAUAAAAUGUAAUUCAAAGUUCACAUUUUGAUGCUAAUGAUUCUUUCAAUUCUUCAUAAGAACUGUCCACUAUAUUGUUCGAAGAGACAAUGGCACAUAAGUACAAAUGUGUUUCAGGCUUACAAGUAGUACAACAGUAGGAGAGUGAAGUAGAGAAGGGAACUAUGCCAAGACUUCGGUAGAUAAACUUGGGAACGUUGCCUCUGUUUUAAAGCAGUCGUAGUGGAUGAUUGUUUGCGUUUAACUGAGUGCUGCCAUUAUGGUUCUUUAUUUUUAUCCACUUAUGUUAUAUGGUAAUUAAAUUUUAUGUGGUUUAUUGAAUAAUACAUUAUUAUUGUGCUGUUAUCUUAAAAUCA